AAAUUGCAGGCCCUGGGAGUAAGGGCUAUAUUACCUGUUUCAAGGCCUGAAAGAAAAAAAAAUGCUUGGGUGUCUGAGGUUUUGGCACCCCGUUGCCAGCUCAGAGAGAUAUCCAAUACAUGUCUUGAAUGGAUAAAGGACCUGUAUGAUCUUGUUAUUCAAGCAUGUUUCUCUUCCGGUUUGUACCUAAUAAUCACUCAUGCCUGGUGGACAGGUCGCAAUUUAAAAGGGCAAUUUAGAGACACCAAUUAACCUAGCCUGCAUGUCUUUGGAUGGUGGGAGGAAGCCGGAGCACCCGGAGAGAACCCACGCGGACACGGGGAGACCAUGCAAACGCCACACAGAAAGGCCGGGGAAACCGGGGUUUGCCCCUGUCUUGGAAACAAUCUUCUGUUAAAUCAAUACUUGUAGUUUGGUAGAACAAUCAGUCUUUUCUGAAUAAUUCAGUACUUCUACAAUGUAGGGUGGACCCCACAAGGUGAUGCAAGACAAGGGGAUGAACCCCCUACUGGACCACAAAUGGUCCAACCAGAUCCCCAGGUGGCAGUGGCACUACUUCAACCCAACACCAGCUCCAAAUGGACCACAAAUGGUGACCCCAGAUCACCAGGUAGCAACAUCCCUGCAACAUCCCCCAACACCCUGACUGGACCACUGAAGGCCCUGACUAGACCCCCAGCAGCCCUUAUUGGACCACCGAAGUCCCCAAUCGGAUUGGCAGUAAGGCCUAAAGGACCCCACACACCUGAAGGACCACGAACAGCCUCCCCAGUUUCUCUUGAAAAAGUUAAACCUGAUAACUACAGAGUACAUCGCAUGGAACUCUACUGGACUGGUGUUUUAUUUAAGGAAUAGUUAAGAGUUGUG
This is a long non-coding RNA of Micropterus dolomieu (smallmouth bass), 867 nucleotides long. RefSeq lists it as uncharacterized. NCBI's taxonomy places the organism in Eukaryota, Metazoa, Chordata, Actinopteri, Centrarchiformes, Centrarchidae. The transcript has 3 exons. The record is from RefSeq and is a predicted model, not a curated record.